RNAcentral lists this long non-coding RNA (403 nucleotides) under Carica papaya (papaya). RNAcentral's name for it is "long non-coding RNA (CPAP_LNC009955)". The record is from RNAcentral. Lineage: Eukaryota; Viridiplantae; Streptophyta; Magnoliopsida; Brassicales; Caricaceae.
CAGAUCUCGAUCCGCAGGAGGAUUGCGUAUAGAUGAUAGAUUUCUUUAUUUUUCGUUUAUUUCCUCAUUUUUAUGUUUCUUUCAAAAGAGUGAAUUCUAUAAUGUUGUUUGAUACUUUAAGUUAUUUGUGUAAAUAAUGUAAACCCUGAACAUUUUGUAACGGUCCUGGAAUUUUAAAUGGAAAUGUAUAUAUAAGAAAAAUUCUAAGUGCGGAAGCGGAAUAAAAAUUUUGAUUAAUAUCCCUUACACAAUAAUCCAAACGUACUAAACGUAUGAAAGAAUAAACUAAAUAAGGUAAAUACUAGAGAUGAAUGUUAUAAAUAAAACUAUGAAAUCUUUAGACAUCUACUCGCCAUCUUCCUGCGGGACGGGCUCGGGAACCAAGUCUUCCUGAUCUGAAAUG